UCCCAUGUGGUCUAGUGGCUAGGAUUUGCGGCUUUCACCCGCAAGGCCCGGGUUCGAUUCCCGGCAUGGGAA
Trichinella pseudospiralis is the source of this 72-nucleotide non-coding RNA. The record is from Rfam. NCBI's taxonomy places the organism in Eukaryota, Metazoa, Nematoda, Enoplea, Trichinellida, Trichinellidae.